Long non-coding RNA from Homo sapiens (human), 362 nucleotides. Ensembl annotates it as EPS15 antisense RNA 1. Its record names the gene EPS15-AS1. The record is from Ensembl. Lineage: Eukaryota; Metazoa; Chordata; Mammalia; Primates; Hominidae.
CUGGCACCAAGACUGGCGGAGCCACCACACCCGUUAAAGGGAUCCACCUGGACAGCGAUCAGGCCACCUCCAAGGAUCACGUAGGACCAGCAGAAGCAGCGUAAAGUAUUGGAACUUUGAAUCUGACAUCAGAAAGACCUGCACUCAGCCGGGCACGGUGGCUCACGAUUGUAAUCCCAGGCCGAGGCGGUGGAUCACUUGAGAUUCACUGAUUCUAGGUAAAUCAGAGGAACAAGCAACAUGAACAGAAAAAAUGUAGAAAAUGCAAUUAUGCUGAAGUACAAUUGUUGUUUCAGAAGUCCAGCAUCUGGUGUACUUAACAAUAGAGAAUAUAUUAAAUUUUUCCAAAAUAAAAAAAACAA